GCUGGGCAUGGUGGCGCCUGCCUGUAAUCCCAGAGACUUGGGAGGCGGAGGCUGGAAGAACUCAAGUUCAAGGCCAGUCUGAUCAACUUGGUGAGACUCAGUCUCAA
RNAcentral lists this small RNA (107 nucleotides) under Marmota monax (woodchuck). Lineage: Eukaryota; Metazoa; Chordata; Mammalia; Rodentia; Sciuridae. The record is from RNAcentral.